CUUAGCGGCCAUAGCGCGGUGGUCCCACCUGAUCCCAUACCGAACUCAGAAGUGAAACGCCGUAGCGCCGAUGGUAGUGUGGGGUCUCCCCAUGUGAGAGUAGGGAACUGCUAAGC
Molecule: ribosomal RNA, 116 nt
Filed under: Proteus mirabilis
Lineage: Bacteria; Pseudomonadati; Pseudomonadota; Gammaproteobacteria; Enterobacterales; Morganellaceae
Source: RNAcentral